RNAcentral lists this unclassified non-coding RNA (253 nucleotides) under Hevea brasiliensis (rubber tree). Lineage: Eukaryota; Viridiplantae; Streptophyta; Magnoliopsida; Malpighiales; Euphorbiaceae. The record is from RNAcentral.
ACUCCACAUUGCGUAAAGCGCCAAUACGCCAAGCAGCCCCCACUGAAUAGCAAACAGAAGGGUUUGAUUGUGAGGGUUGCCGAUUGCAUUCGCGGGUGAGCCGGUUCUCUUCGGGAUGUCGCGGGUCAGCAGGGUUUUGGCUGAUCCGGUCCCGUGACCGAUGAUGGGAGCCGUCUUGAAGAGUUCGAUCGAUUUAUUCCAUAGCUCCAGCCGCUGCCCCACAGACGUGGUUCCUGGCUCCUUUUGAGCGGCG